Molecule: ribosomal RNA, 358 nt
Filed under: uncultured bacterium
Lineage: Bacteria
Description: partial 16S ribosomal RNA
Rfam family: Bacterial small subunit ribosomal RNA
Source: RNAcentral
CCUACGGGAGGCAGCAGUGGGGAAUAUUGGGCAAUGGGCGCAAGCCUGACCCAGCAACGCCGCGUGAAGGAAGAAGGCUUUCGGGUUGUAAACUUCUUUUCUCAGGGACGAAGCAAGUGACGGUACCUGAGGAAUAAGCCACGGCUAACUACGUGCCAGCAGCCGCGGUAAUACGUAGGUGGCAAGCGUUAUACGGAUUUACUGGGUGUAAAGGGCGUGUAGGCGGGAAAGCAAGUCAGAUGUGAAAACCAUGGGCUCAACCUGUGGCCUGCAUUGGAAACUGUUUUUCUUGAGUACUGGGAAAGCAGCAGGAAUUCGGAGUGGAGCGGGGAAAUGCGUAGAGAGGAGGAAGAAACCC